GCUUUGCUAGCUUAAUCGGUAGAGCGUGAGAAUUUUAAUUUCAAGGUUGCGGGCUCGAUCCUCGCGUGAGACU
RNAcentral lists this transfer RNA (73 nucleotides) under Sphaerobolus stellatus SS14. RNAcentral describes it as "tRNA-Lys (TTT) (tRNA-Lys-TTT-13-1)". It matches the Rfam family "tRNA". Rfam says of the family: Transfer RNA (tRNA) molecules are approximately 80 nucleotides in length. The record is from RNAcentral. Lineage: Eukaryota; Fungi; Basidiomycota; Agaricomycetes; Geastrales; Sphaerobolaceae.